This 419-nucleotide ribosomal RNA is filed under the name Gammarus balcanicus. RNAcentral's name for it is "partial 16S ribosomal RNA". It matches the Rfam family "Bacterial large subunit ribosomal RNA", at positions 1948 to 2621 of the family's 2925-position model. The record is from RNAcentral. Lineage: Eukaryota; Metazoa; Arthropoda; Malacostraca; Amphipoda; Gammaridae.
GUGCUAAGGUAGCAUAAUCAUUUGUUAUUUAAUUGGUAACUGGCAUGAAAGGUUUAACUAACUUAUUAGGUUUGUGAGAUUAAAUAAAAAGUUAAAGUUAAGGUAAGAAUUCUUUAAUUUUCUAGGGGACGAUAAGACCCUAGAAGCUUGAUAAAAUGGUUUUUUUUUGUGUUAAAAGUUUAUUUAUUUUACUGGGGCGGUAAAAAUAACUAAGCUAUUUAUUAUUUGAAGGAUCCUUAAAAUAAAGAAAGAACGGGAAAGUUACUCUAGGGAUAACAGUGCAAUAUUUUUGGAUAGACCUUAUUGAUAAAUAUGUUUGCAACCUCGAUGUUGAAUUAAAAUGUCUUUAUAAAGCAGAAAGUAUACAAGAAGGUUUGUUCAACCUUUAAAUUUUUACAUGAUCUGAGUUCAAACCGGAG